UACGAAGGGGGCUAGCGUUGCUCGGAAUCACUGGGCGUAAAGCGCACGUAGGCGGAUUGUUAAGUCAGGGGUGAAAUCCUGGAGCUCAACUCCAGAACUGCCUUUGAUACUGGCGAUCUUGAGUCCGGGAGAGGUGAGUGGAACUGCGAGUGUAGAGGUGAAAUUCGUAGAUAUCGGGAGGAACACCAGUGGCGAAGGCGGCGAUCUGGGAAGAUACUGACGCUGAGGUGCGAAAGCGUGGGGAGCAAACAGG
Molecule: ribosomal RNA, 253 nt
Filed under: uncultured bacterium
Lineage: Bacteria
Description: partial 16S ribosomal RNA
Rfam family: Bacterial small subunit ribosomal RNA
Source: RNAcentral